GAUGAACGCUGGCGGCGUGCCUAAUACAUGCAAGUCGAGCGAACGGACGAGAAGCUUGCUUUUCUGAUGUUAGCGGCGGACGGGUGAGUAACACGUGGAUAACCUACCUAUAAGACUGGGAUAACUUCGGGAAACCGGAGCUAAUACCGGAUAAUAUUUUGAACCGCAUGGUUCAAAAGUGAAAGACGGUUUUGCUGUCACUUAUAGAUGGAUCCGCGCUGCAUUAGCUAGUUGGUAAGGUAACGGCUUACCAAGGCAACGAUGCAUAGCCGACCUGAGAGGGUGAUCGGCCACACUGGAACUGAGACACGGUCCAGACUCCUACGGGAGGCAGCAGUAGGGAAUCUUGCGCAAUGGGCGAAAGCCUGACGGAGCAACGCCGCGUGAGUGAUGAAGGUCUUCGGAUCGUAAAACUCUGUUAUUAGGGAAGAACAUAUGUGUAAGUAACUGUGCACAUCUUGACGGUACCUAAUCAGAAAGCCACGGCUAACUACGUG
RNAcentral lists this ribosomal RNA (497 nucleotides) under uncultured bacterium. RNAcentral describes it as "partial 16S ribosomal RNA". It matches the Rfam family "Bacterial small subunit ribosomal RNA", at positions 28 to 507 of the family's 1533-position model. The record is from RNAcentral.